Long non-coding RNA from Amphibalanus amphitrite, 307 nucleotides. RefSeq lists it as uncharacterized. Lineage: Eukaryota; Metazoa; Arthropoda; Thecostraca; Balanomorpha; Balanidae. The transcript has 3 exons. The record is from RefSeq and is a predicted model, not a curated record.
CACCAUCCAAGCUACAAUCAAAAGUGGCAGAGUGGGAAUAACUCACGUUGUUCCAAUCAUUCGCCAGGAGUUGGGAUAAGCGACCGGAUCGGCAAUGUCCGCAAGAUCUACGCCGGGCAGUCAGAUGGGGAGCGAACCCAAACGAGCCGGGAAAGAGUGUGCAUCCUGUGGACAACGAGUUCGGGGAAGAGAAAGGAUAUGCUCAUGUGGGCAUGAUUUGGAGGCACAACGGCAAGCUCUUCGUGUAGCACGUCAACAAGAGCAGCGGAGGAAAGGCAAGAAGCUCCGCGAUGACAAUCAGGACAAA